UAGAGUUUGAUCAUGGCUCAGAUUGAACGCUGGCGGCAGGCCUAACACAUGCAAGUCGAGCGGAAACGACAACAUUGAAUCUUCGGAGGAUUUGUUGGGCGUCGAGCGGCGGACGGGUGAGUAAUGCCUAGGAAAUUGCCUUGAUGUGGGGGAUAACCAUUGGAAACGAUGGCUAAUACCGCAUAAUGCCUACGGGCCAAAGAGGGGGAUCUUCGGACCUCUCGCGUCAAGAUAUGCCUAGGUGGGAUUAGCUAGUUGGUGAGGUAAUGGCUCACCAAGGCGACGAUCCCUAGCUGGUCUGAGAGGAUGAUCAGCCACACUGGAACUGAGACACGGUCCAGACUCCUACGGGAGGCAGCAGUGGGGAAUAUUGCACAAUGGGCGAAAGCCUGAUGCAGCCAUGCCGCGUGUAUGAAGAAGGCCUUCGGGUUGUAAAGUACUUUCAGUUGUGAGGAAGGGUGUGUAGUUAAUAGCUGCGCAUCUUGACGUUAGCAACAGAAGAAGCACCGGCUAACUCCGUGCCAGCAGCCGCGGUAAUACGGAGGGUGCGAGCGUUAAUCGGAAUUACUGGGCGUAAAGCGCAUGCAGGUGGUUCAUUAAGUCAGAUGUGAAAGCCCGGGGCUCAACCUCGGAACUGCAUUUGAAACUGGUGAACUAGAGUGCUGUAGAGGGGGGUAGAAUUUCA
RNAcentral lists this ribosomal RNA (685 nucleotides) under uncultured Vibrionaceae bacterium. RNAcentral describes it as "bacterial SSU rRNA". It matches the Rfam family "Bacterial small subunit ribosomal RNA", at positions 1 to 671 of the family's 1533-position model. Lineage: Bacteria; Pseudomonadati; Pseudomonadota; Gammaproteobacteria; Vibrionales; Vibrionaceae. The record is from RNAcentral.